RNAcentral lists this ribosomal RNA (468 nucleotides) under uncultured bacterium. RNAcentral describes it as "bacterial SSU rRNA". It matches the Rfam family "Bacterial small subunit ribosomal RNA", at positions 29 to 507 of the family's 1533-position model. The record is from RNAcentral.
AUUGAACGCUGGCGGCAGGCUUAACACAUGCAAGUCGUACGGUAACAGAGGGAAGCUUGCUUCUCUGCUGACGAGUGGCGGACGGGUGAGUAAUGUCUGGGAAGCUGCCUGCUUGGAGGGGGAUAGCGGAGCGAAAGUUCCGAUAAUACCGCGUAAGCCCGAGAGGGAAAGUGCGGGACCGCAAGGCCGCACGCGAGCAGAUGCGCCCAGAUGGGAUUAGAUAGUUGGCGGGGUAACGGCCCACCAAGUCGACGAUCAGUAGCCGGACUGAGAGGUUGAACGGCCACAUUGGGACUGAGACACGGCCCAGACUCCUACGGGAGGCAGCAGUGGGGGAUAUUGCACAAUGGGCGAAAGCCUGAUGCAGCAAUGCCGCGUGAGGGAAGAAGGUUUUCGGAUUGUAAACCUCUGUCCCUGAUGACGAAGUAAGUGACGGUAAUCAGGGAGGAAGCCACGGCUAACUACGUG